AGUGAACGCUGGCGGUAGGCCUAACACAUGCAAGUCGAACGGCAGCACAGUAAGAGCUUGCUCUUACGGGUGGCGAGUGGCGGACGGGUGAGGAAUACAUCGGAAUCUACUUUUUCGUGGGGGAUAACGUAGGGAAACUUACGCUAAUACCGCAUACGACUUACGGGUGAAAGCAGGGGAUCUUCGGACCUUGCGCGAUUGAAUGAGCCGUUGUCGGAUUAGGUAGUUGGCGGGGUAAAGGCCCACAAAGGCGACGAGCCAUAGCUGGUCUGAGAGGGUGGUGGGGAAGAGUGGGAAUGAGACACGGCCGAAACGCAUGCGGGAGGCAGCAGUAGGGCAGGUUCGGCAAUGGACGGAAGGUUGACCGCGCAAAGAUGGGAGAGUGAAGAAGGGUUUCGGAUCGCAAAACUCUGUUGGUAGAGAAGAACGUUGGCGAGAGUGGAAAGCUCAUCAAGUGACGGUAACUACAAAGAAAGGGACGGCUAACUACGUG
RNAcentral lists this ribosomal RNA (493 nucleotides) under uncultured bacterium. RNAcentral describes it as "partial 16S ribosomal RNA". It matches the Rfam family "Bacterial small subunit ribosomal RNA", at positions 30 to 507 of the family's 1533-position model. The record is from RNAcentral.